ACGAACGCUGGCGGCGUGCUUAACACAUGCCAGUCGAACGGAAAGGCCCUGCUUUUGUGGGGUGCUCGAGUGGCGAACGGGUGAGUAACACGUGAGUAACCUGCCCUUGACUUUGGGAUAACUUCAGGAAACUGGGGCUAAUACCGGAUAGGAGCUCCUGCUGCAUGGUGGGGGUUGGAAAGUUUCGGCGGUUUGGGAUGGACUCGCGGCUUAUCAGCUUGUUGGUGGGGUAGUGGCUUACCAAGGCUUUGACGGGUAGCCGGCCUGAGAGGGUGACCGGCCAAAUUGGGGAGCUGGGUGCGGCCGCGACUCCUGGGGGGGGGAGAGGGGGGAAAUAUUAAAAAAGGGGGAGGAGCUUGAGGCGGCAACGCGGGGUGGGAGACGCCGGUUUGGGGGUGUAAAACCGGUUCACCAUGGGGCGAAGGGUGAUGAGCGGUAAGGGAAAAAGAAGCACCGGAUACAUACU
This 466-nucleotide ribosomal RNA is filed under the name uncultured bacterium. RNAcentral describes it as "partial 16S ribosomal RNA". It matches the Rfam family "Bacterial small subunit ribosomal RNA", at positions 29 to 505 of the family's 1533-position model. The record is from RNAcentral.